Non-coding RNA from Petromyzon marinus (sea lamprey), 418 nucleotides. NCBI's taxonomy places the organism in Eukaryota, Metazoa, Chordata, Hyperoartia, Petromyzontiformes, Petromyzontidae. The record is from RefSeq and is a predicted model, not a curated record.
GUUGCUGCUGUGGAUAGCAAGAGACAUUGACACUCCCUGAUAGACGGUGUUGACGUUGCAUCAAGGUUGCGUUGAGUAGCACCGAGGCUGUGUGGAGUUCCAGUAAGGAAUUGCGUGGAGUUGAACAGAGACGUCUGCGCUAGGCACAACUGCUGGGGUCCUGUAACACAGAACGUUAGGAGCCCCUCCCCCCUCCCCGAUACAAACAAAUCCUGUAGUAGUAGCAGCAGCGAGGCAAAUUCAAACGCACGGCCAAAGGAGUUGCGGUGUUACCAGGAGGUCCGCUAACUGCCCGUAUCCACCGCCGAUUCGACCGUUUGCACUUCCUUCCUCUGCACUUGAACCGAGACAUCAAAGACGCAGACCUGGCUCCCUGUCCCGUCACUGCCUGGGAUCUCUGCCCCGUUGGGGCUUCCUU